AGCCACACCAGCUGGGGCCAAGUACCCCUUUGUAAAAGCUCCUACUGCCUGCACCAUUGGUAUUAGGAAGACCCUUCCCCUCCCCACUCCCCGCACCCUCUGAGCAAACUCAUUCCUUUAGGCAGGGGCACACGAACUACAACCUUGGGCCUGCUCUUUUCUAAGAAGUGUUUUCAAAAGGAGAAGGAAACAAGCCAUUUCUAAACUGGUUUCUACAUAUUCCACGAGCCUUACGUGGUAAUAAUAACAGCCAUGCACUUACUAGUAAUGUGUGCUCCGGGUCACGCCCUGUGCCAAGCACUGCAACUUGCAUUAACUCAUCGAAUCCUUACAGUUUUUCCUAAAGGUUGUAUUAGCCACGUUUCUCAGUUAAAGAAACUAAAACUCCAAGACAUCAAGUGCAUGACACGAUGAAGGCGAAGGGCCAGUUCGGCUGUACACAGAGGGCCCCAGACAAAGUGAGAAAAAGUGAGUGUUUGUGUAAUAGGGUGAGGAGGAAGGCAGAUGGUUCGUUAACAGCAUUUUUUCCUUAGAAUGGAAAUGUCUUCUUGUGUCUGAAUAUUCCGAGCCUUCUUUGCGGUGUGCGGGGCACUGGGUUUUGUUGGAACUAUGGUAACGGGACACAGUUUCCACCGUGGGGUGCCGGAGUGCUUAGGGACCUGCCCAUCACGGGGCAGAAUCGGGGAUGCGCGUUGCUAACCACAAUGCAAGGCACGCGGGCCUGUGCCAUUUCUCAUGGAUCAGGGAUGUGGCGGUGCCAUGUGGCGAGGGACCACGUCGAGUUGGGGACAUUAGCAAAGCAUCCUGGGGGAGGAGGGCCAGGGGGAGCGGCUUUCACAAGGAGGGGAACAGAGGAGGGCAGAGGCUCAGCCGGGGAAGCACGGGGCAGGUGUGGGGUGCAGCUGGAUCACGGGACAGGGUGGAACAUUCUAGAAAGGGAAGGUGGAAUUGGACGGAGUGGGGUGGGGGGUGGAUCUUGAGCGCCAGGCUGGGGGCGACUCCAUGCAGGAGCUGGGGAGUCACGGAGGGCGGGCCCGUGGGUGUUCUCCUGGGGCCCGCAGACCCGACGGGCGGGGCGCAGCCUGGUGGUGUGGUGGGCAGGUGGCUGCUUCUCCAUGUCAUCCAUCAUGACGGUCCUGGCUGAGAGCUGACAACCCGAGAUGCGCGAGAAAGUAAGGCAUCACCGUGGUGUAGGGUGACAAGCUCAGGUGCCUGCGAGGGCCAGAAAAGCUGGAUUUGUUUCUGUGAAAUCUCUAGACGCGCCGAUGUUGGAACCAAUUCAUCUUUUCAAAUGUGCAGGCCAAGGAAGACACCGGCAGUUUGUAACUGAAAGUUAUGAAAUAAUAAAACCGUCUUAGACAUUCU
This is a long non-coding RNA of Myotis brandtii (Brandt's bat), 1365 nucleotides long. RefSeq lists it as uncharacterized. The record is from RefSeq and is a predicted model, not a curated record. Lineage: Eukaryota; Metazoa; Chordata; Mammalia; Chiroptera; Vespertilionidae. The transcript has 2 exons.